Molecule: non-coding RNA, 28 nt
Filed under: Mus musculus (house mouse)
Lineage: Eukaryota; Metazoa; Chordata; Mammalia; Rodentia; Muridae
Source: RNAcentral
GAGCAAAUUCAGAUAUUUUCUGGUACCU